UACGUAGGGUGCGAGCGUUGUCCGGAAUUAUUGGGCGUAAAGGGCUCGUAGGCGGUCUGUUGCGUCGGGAGUGAAAACUCAGGGCUUAACCCUGAGCCUGCUUCCGAUACGGGCAGACUAGAGGUAUGCAGGGGAGAACGGAAUUCCUGGUGUAGCGGUGAAAUGCGCAGAUAUCUGGAGGAACACCGGUGGCGAAGGCGGCAUCCUGGACCGGCAUUGACGCUGAGGCGCGAAAGCUAGGGGAGCAAACGGG
This 253-nucleotide ribosomal RNA is filed under the name uncultured bacterium. Its description in RNAcentral is "partial 16S ribosomal RNA". It matches the Rfam family "Bacterial small subunit ribosomal RNA", at positions 524 to 776 of the family's 1533-position model. The record is from RNAcentral.